GAGCGAUUAGUUCAGUGGGAGAAUACAUCCUUGACAGGGAUGGGGUCGGGGUUCGAAUCCCUCAUCGCUCA
Molecule: transfer RNA, 71 nt
Filed under: Priestia megaterium
Lineage: Bacteria; Bacillati; Bacillota; Bacilli; Caryophanales; Bacillaceae
Also listed under: 1 other name
Description: tRNA-Val
Rfam family: tRNA
About the family: Transfer RNA (tRNA) molecules are approximately 80 nucleotides in length. Their secondary structure includes four short double-helical elements and three loops (D, anti-codon, and T loops). Further hydrogen bonds mediate the characteristic L-shaped molecular structure. tRNAs have two regions of fundamental functional importance: the anti-codon, which is responsible for specific mRNA codon recognition, and the 3' end, to which the tRNAs corresponding amino acid is attached (by aminoacyl-tRNA synthetases). tRNAs cope with the degeneracy of the genetic code in two manners: having more than one tRNA (with a specific anti-codon) for a particular amino acid; and 'wobble' base-pairing, i.e. permitting non-standard base-pairing at the 3rd anti-codon position.
Source: RNAcentral